AGAGAAACACCAAGAAGAGGAGUAAAAUAAAGGCCACAACUAGAAAGAAGAGAGUGCCAAAACCUUGAUCAACUCACAGAAGCCGAAAAUUUGUGUGGAGAGAGAGAGAGAGAUCUUAAAGAGGGAGAGAGAAAUUGUCGAUGGGAAACUGUUUUGCUAGCAAGCCUUUGAUUUACCCUACUGGACAGAUCGAUGUGCACUUAGAGAAGUCCAACUCCGACGGGAUUUACGCUGCUAGAAAAAUGAAUGUACCCAUAGAGAGGCUCAUCUCAAAUGGGGAAUCAGUGAGAGUGUGCCAAGUAAAGGUUCGGAUGAGAAAGGCUGAGUUCAUGGAUUUGAUCUCAGAGGUAGAGAUGAGCAAUAGAAAGGUUGAGCUCGGAUGGUUGAUCAUGGACAGAUGCCGGAAAGAAGGAACCAAGUAUAUCAUUAGUAACUGCGAGAGUGUGGAUCCUGUGAGCCUUGAGCCUAUAAAAGAGGAGACCGGCUACUAGGUUCCCAUUACUAGGCCUCCCAAUAUAGAGGAGCUCUAUUAUCUUCUGGUGAGAUUAGCAGGGUUGGGCAGGACCUACAAUGCAUGUGUUAUGGAUGCCUUAACAUCAGUAUCUGCUUCUUCUCCUCUCAACAUUACAAAUUUGAAAAAUGGGCAUGAGUGUGGUGCUCGAGCUAUGGUGGAUGAAGCUUGCCAUGGUUCUCCAUCUGAUGGAGAAGGAGAUCCUAUACUUAUAGAUGCAGAGCCAGCCCUAGCAAGAGGUGCAAGUAUCGAACCGGCAAUAAGAAUGGCAUUUACUGAUGAAGAAGAAGCUUAUGAUUAUUAUAAUAAGCACGUAAAAUUGGUAGGAUUUGGUAUAAGAAAGGGAAGGACCAUAUGGAAACAUGAUGGAAGAAUUAGUCGGAUUUUAGAAUAUUGAAGGUAAGGUUUUCGUAGUGAGAUGUAUGAUGGGAGUGAAAAUGCUUGCCCCCACACAAAAUGUGGAUGUCAGGCAAAGAUCUGCAUUAAGAAGGAUGACAAAAAUAGAUGGGUUAUUGCGAAGGUUGUAAAAAAACAUAAUCAUAUUCUCAUAAUGCCCAACAAGACUAGAUUCAUUCGCUCUCAUCAAAAGAUACUAAAUACAUUGAAGAAGGUGAUUGACACAUUGGAGUCUAGGGUUAUGAUGGAUUUCCUCAUUGAAGAGGCCGAGAGGCAGAAAAUGUCACUUUCAUUAAGAAAGACCUUGAGAAUCACAUAACUAAAAAAAAAAAUAACUGAAAGGAAAAGAGGGUAAUGUUGUUAAGAAUUGGUUGCAUAUGAAGAAUGAAUUGGACCCUAACUUCUUUUAUAGAGUUCGACUUGAUGAGAUGGGGAGGUUGUUUGGUGUUUUAUGAGUUGAUUCAAAGUGUAUAUUAUCAUACCAAUUUUUUAAUAACGUGGUAACCUUUGACACCACAUACCAAAGAAAUGAAUACAGUAUGCCUUUUGGCCCAAUCCUUGGAGUUAAUCAUCACACUAACACAAUUUUUCUCGGAUGUGAUCUCAUCUUCAAUGAACUACAUAAACCUUCACUUGGUUAUUUGAGAACCAGCUAAAGGCAAUGGGAGGUUGCCAACCAAGUACAAUUAUCACUGAUCAGGCUUUAGCUAUAAUGACAACAGUUAAGAUCGUUUACCCAAAUACUAAUCAUCACUAUUGCAAGUGGCACAUCAUGAGAAAGUUUAAAACACAUCUAAGCAAUGUUGAGCGUGCGCACCCAUUAUUCUUAGAAGUAUUCAAGAAGUGUAUUGCAGCCUACACAAUUGAGCAGUUUUUGGCUGAUUGGUUGGCUAUGAUUCAGAAAUAUGAUCUUCAAGAGGAAAGUUGGCUCAAGUGGUUAUAUGGUUAUCGCACUGAAUGGGUUAAUGCAUACAUAGUUGAUAGAUUCACAGCCGGCAUGAAAACCACACAACGAAGUGAAGGGUUCAAUCGUCAUUUAAAGAUGCAUGUCACUUCUGGUACAAGUUUGCAAAAAUUCAUGAAUGCUAUUGAAAAGUUACAAAAAAAGAAGUUCAUCAAAGAAAAAGAGAAAGAUAGUAAAGAUCUUACAUCCACACCUGUUUUAAAGACAACCUUCCUGAUCAAGGAGCAUGCAGCAAGGACACACACUCAUAAAGUAUUUAAAAAGUUCAAAGAAGAUGUUGUAAGGUCCUCAAAUUGGCUUAGCAAAUUAAUCGAAGGCAAUGAUGAAUUUGCCAAAUAUAAGGUGGAAGACAUUCACGGUGUGCCAAGCCCUAGGACGGUUACAUUCAUUUAAUCAGGGAAGAAGUGUACAUACACAUGUUAAUUCUUUGAGCGUGUUGGAAUCCCUUGUUCACAUAUGCUCAGAGUAUUCAACAUGAGGAAUAAAUUGAAGAUCCCAUCUAACUACAUUUUGAGCCAUUGGACAAUAGAUGCGAAGAAGGGUGUCAAAGACAAAUGUGGUGCUAGUAGUUCGACUAUUUCUAAAUUUCGAGUUUCAUUCGAUGUCAUGAGCUUUAUGACCUUGUGAGAACAAUUGUAGAGUCAGUAUUAUAAAAUGAUGAUCUAUUUGAAAAAGUGAAGUUGAGUUUCUCCAAGUUAGCUGAGGAGGUCAAUGUAAUAAGAGAGUCUUUGUCGAAUACUUAUGCACCAUCAACCUCCACUCAUUGCAAUGCCGAUGAAGAUGAAGUAUGUGGCAGUAUUAGAUCAGUUGCAUUCAGAGUUGUCCACUAAUUCCACUAAGGGCACUAGAGUCUAUGAGGAUAUUCACUAUCCUUUCAGGCUUCAAGCUAAUGCCUCCCCCCUUAUCCUCAAUCCACCAUGUGCACGAGCAGUUGGAUGACCAAGGACUAAAAGGAUAAAACCUUCAUGGGAGGAAGGGCCGAAAUCUUCUACGCAAAUAAAACAGCCAGAGGAAAAACCACCCACUAGAAGAAAGUGUAAAAUUUGCAAUAAAAGUGGACAUGACAGGCGUAACUGUCCGGUGAGGACGCGUGGGAUAGCUAUUGCAGACCUCGAACUGAGUUGAAGCCAUGACAUACAAAGGGGCUGCAAUUGCAUGGAGGAUAUGACAAAUUGUGACACUGCAUUCGCCUCAAGGAUUUUUUUAUGUUGACUAAUUUUUUGAAUUUUGGAGGCAUGUAAAAACCCAUUUUUGUAGUUUACUUUGGGGGUUAUGUGAAUAUUCAAUGAAUUUUACGGGCAAAUAAGAGACCUAUUUAUGGGGCAUGUAAGGGACUUGAUUAAUUUUUUGAAUUUUGAAGACUUGUAAAUACCCCUUUUUGUAGUUGACUUUGGAGGGUUAUGUGAAUAUUCAAUAUUCAUGUAAUUUUUAUGGGGGUAUGUACAAGACCU
Amborella trichopoda is the source of this 3322-nucleotide long non-coding RNA. RefSeq lists it as uncharacterized. Lineage: Eukaryota; Viridiplantae; Streptophyta; Magnoliopsida; Amborellales; Amborellaceae. The record is from RefSeq and is a predicted model, not a curated record.